RNAcentral lists this ribosomal RNA (292 nucleotides) under uncultured bacterium. RNAcentral's name for it is "partial 16S ribosomal RNA". It matches the Rfam family "Bacterial small subunit ribosomal RNA", at positions 505 to 796 of the family's 1533-position model. The record is from RNAcentral.
GUGUCAGCAGCCGCGGUAAGACAGAGGAGCCAAGCGUUGUCCGGAUUGACUGGGCGUAAAGCGCACGCAGGCGGCUGGGCACGUGGGGUGUGAAACCUGGCGGCUUAACUGCCAGACGCCAUCCCAUACGGCCCGGCUCGAGGUAGGCAGAGGUUCGUGGAAUUGCCGGUGUAGUGGUGAAAUGCGUAGAGAUCGGCAGGAACACCAAGGGCGAAAGCAGCGAACUGGGCCUAUUCUGACGCUCAGGUGCGAAAGCGUGGGGAGCGAACCGGAUUAGAUACCCUCGUAGUCC